RNAcentral lists this long non-coding RNA (1025 nucleotides) under Callithrix jacchus (white-tufted-ear marmoset). RNAcentral describes it as "lncRNA (ENSCJAG00000078247.1)". The record is from RNAcentral. Lineage: Eukaryota; Metazoa; Chordata; Mammalia; Primates; Cebidae.
AUGACCUGGUCCCGGGGCGCGAUGAUGUGCCAGGAACAGCUGAUGCCCGGGUGGGGGGAAUCGGACUCGGGCCAGCUGGGCGUGGUCAGGGUUCCCUGCGCCUUCUCCAGCCGCCCCCCGCAAAAUUGGUGCUGUAGGGAGGGGAGAGGGGAGAGAGGAGCAGGGGUCGGGGGCGGUGGAGACCCUCGGUCAGCUCUAGGAGAGCUCCAGGCUGGGAGCUCCGGCAGGCAGCUUGAAUGUCUGGGGCUCAGGAUGAGGGGACGAGAAGAAGGCGAGGCAAACAGAGUCUGGAAUGGACGUCCAUCAAAUUCCAGCAGACCUGCAGAAGAGGGGCCUCCUAGAAGGAAAACUAACAAACAGAAAGUGAUAGCAUAUCAACAUCAAUAAAAAGGAUGCCCACGCAAAAACCCCAUCUGAAGGUCACCACCAUCAAAGAUCAAAAGUAGAUAAAUUCACGAAGAUGAGGAAAACCAGUGCAAAAAGGCUGAAAAUUAACAACUUGACCAAAAAUUUGUCACAGAAUUUUGAGACCCAUUAAAAAAGUUUAAUGAGAAAAAAAAAAGGCUGAAAAUUCCAAAAAGCAGAAUGCCUCUUCUCCAAAGGAUCACAACUCCUUGCCAGCAAGGGAACAAAACUGAAUGGAGAAAGAGUUUGACAAAUUGACAGAAGUAGGCUUCAGAAGGUGGGUAAUAACAAACUCCUCCAAGCUAAAGGAGCAUGUUUUAACCCAAUGUAAGGAAUCUAAGAACCUCAAUAAAAGGUUACAGGAACUGCUAACUAGAAUAACCAGUUUAGAGAAGAACAUAAUUGACCUGAUGGAGUUGAAAAACACAGCACAAGAACUUUGUGUAGCAUACACAAAGUAUCAACAGCUGAAUCCAUCAAGCAGAAGAAAGGAUAUCAGAGAUUGAAGAUCCACAUAGUGAAAUAAACCAUGAAGACAAGAUUAGAGAAAAAAGAAUGAAAAGGAACAAACAAAACCUCCAAAAAAUAGGAGACUAUGUGAAAAGACCAAACCCACAUUU